CAAACCUCCAUAAUUGUUAUAAAUCACACUGUUUAUAUUAAACAUGCUUCACUGAUUCGAGUAUUUGGCGAGCGCCGUUUUGUCCUACUAAUUUUGGCGGUCCUUGAACUCACCAUAGUGUAUAACUUUCUCCGACUUUCUAGGACGUGUUUUAUGCCACUUCUUUUUCUGUCUCAUUUUGUCCACCAAACUUUUAACGUUGUACGUGAAUACUCAAAGAGACUUGCCCUACAUCUUUACAGCACAACCAGACCAACCGGUAUUUGUAAGGAAGUUGACCCAACAACACGUCAUCGUCUGGACAAUAUCAUUAAGAUGUGCCACACCCAAUGCCUAAUGGAGUGAGGUCAAGAGGACAGUCACUUACACAGGUGAAAACCUCCGUUACCUGG
This is a long non-coding RNA of Nerophis lumbriciformis (worm pipefish), 392 nucleotides long. RefSeq lists it as uncharacterized. The record is from RefSeq and is a predicted model, not a curated record. NCBI's taxonomy places the organism in Eukaryota, Metazoa, Chordata, Actinopteri, Syngnathiformes, Syngnathidae.